ACCGAAGAGGAUGGUUGUCCUCAAAGCAGUGCCAUUCAAACAAAGAUGACUCAGCCUCCUGAGUCAAGACAGGUCACACAGUUAGAAACCAAGAAAGUGAAAGGAUCUCUUCCUGAUAACUUCUUUGAUAGGGAUGAAACCAAGUUACCUACGAAUCUUAUGAAGCCUCCAAGGGAGAAUAAACUGGCAGUGAAGCAGGCUAGUGCUCCAGAAACCAAAACAAAGCACGUUAAAGGAUCUCUUCCUGAUGACUUCUUUGAUAAGGAUGAUGCCAAGUUACCUAUGAAUGCCAUGAAGCCUCCUAGGGAGAAUAUACAGGCUUCAGAGCAGGCUAGUGCUCCAGA
This 344-nucleotide long non-coding RNA is filed under the name Gossypium barbadense (sea-island cotton). RNAcentral's name for it is "long non-coding RNA (GBAR_LNC009422)". Lineage: Eukaryota; Viridiplantae; Streptophyta; Magnoliopsida; Malvales; Malvaceae. The record is from RNAcentral.